GACGAACGCUGGCGGCGUGCUUAACACAUGCAAGUCGAACGGAAAGGCCCUGCUUUUGUGGGUUGCUCGAGUGGCGAACGGGUGAGUAACACGUGAGUAACCUGCCCUUGACUUUGGGAUAACUUCAGGAAACUGGGGCUAAUACCGGAUAGGAGCUCCUGCUGCAUGUUGGGGGUUGGAAAGUUUCGGCGGUUGGGGAUGGACUCGCGGCUUAUCAGCUUGUUGGUGGGGUAGUGGCUUACCAAGGCUUUGACGGGUAGCCGGCCUGAGAGGGUGACCGGCCGCAUUGGGACUGAGAUGAGGCCGAAACUGCUACGGGGGACAGCAGGGGGGAAUAUUGAACGAGGGGCGGAAGCCUGAUGAAGAAACGCCGCGUGCGGGAUGACGGCCUUAGGGUUGUAAACCGCUUUCGCCUGUGACGAAGCGUGAGUGAAGGUAAUGGGUAAAGAAGCACCGGCUAACUACGUG
RNAcentral lists this ribosomal RNA (468 nucleotides) under uncultured bacterium. RNAcentral describes it as "partial 16S ribosomal RNA". It matches the Rfam family "Bacterial small subunit ribosomal RNA", at positions 28 to 507 of the family's 1533-position model. The record is from RNAcentral.